ACCAGACUCCUACGGGAGGCAGCAGUGGGGAAUAUUGCACAAUGGGGGAAACCCUGAUGCAGCGACGCCGCGUGAAGGAAGAAGUAUCUCGGUAUGUAAACUUCUAUCAGCAGGGAAGAAAACAGACGGUACCUGACUAAGAAGCCCCGGCUAACUACGUGCCAGCAGCCGCGGUAAUACGUAGGGGGCAAGCGUUAUCCGGAUUUACUGGGUGUAAAGGGAGCGUAGACGGCAGCGCAAGUCUGGAGUGAAAUGCCGGGGCUCAACCCCGGAACUGCUUUGGAAACUGUGCAGCUGGAGUGCGGGAGAGGUAAGCGGAAUUCCUAGUGUAGCGGUGAAAUGCGUAGAUAUUAGGAGGAACACCAGUGGCGAAGGCGGCUUGCUGGACCGUAACUGACGUUGAGGCUCGAAAGCGUGGGGAGCAAACAGGAUUAGAUACCCGGGUAUU
RNAcentral lists this ribosomal RNA (448 nucleotides) under uncultured bacterium. RNAcentral's name for it is "bacterial SSU rRNA". It matches the Rfam family "Bacterial small subunit ribosomal RNA", at positions 330 to 794 of the family's 1533-position model. The record is from RNAcentral.